CUUUGGCGACUGAAGCAGCGGAAGACUCUACUCAAGUAGCUAAGCUACGUUCAGCUCUUGAAUCUGUUGAUCACAAGAGAAGAAAGAUUUUACAACAAAUGAAAAACGACGCAGAGAUGUUAAAUUUAGAAAGUGGCGCUGCACCUAUUCGGAGUCCUUCCACUUCUGCUGAAGAUGCAAGGCUAGUGUCGUUAAUCUCCCUCGACAGCAUACUGAAGCAAGUCAAGGAGUGUAGAAAGUUCGCCAGGUCCAGGAAGAAGAGCGGACA
Molecule: long non-coding RNA, 268 nt
Organism: Salvia splendens (bonfire salvia)
Lineage: Eukaryota; Viridiplantae; Streptophyta; Magnoliopsida; Lamiales; Lamiaceae
Exons: 3
Source: RefSeq, a predicted model, not a curated record